This 253-nucleotide ribosomal RNA is filed under the name uncultured bacterium. RNAcentral describes it as "partial 16S ribosomal RNA". It matches the Rfam family "Bacterial small subunit ribosomal RNA", at positions 524 to 776 of the family's 1533-position model. The record is from RNAcentral.
UACGAAGGGGGCUAGCGUUGCUCGGAAUCACUGGGCGUAAAGGGUGCGUAGGCGGGUCUUUAAGUCAGGGGGGAAAUCCUGGAGCGCAACUCCAGAACUGCCUUUGAUACUGAAGAUCUUGAGUUCGGGAGAGGUGAGUGGAACUGCGAGUGUAGAGGUGAAAUUCGUAGAUAUUCGCAAGAACACCAGUGGCGAAGGCGGCUCACUGGCCCGAUACUGACGCUGAGGCACGAAAGCGUGGGGAGCAAACAGG